Molecule: ribosomal RNA, 433 nt
Filed under: uncultured bacterium
Lineage: Bacteria
Description: bacterial SSU rRNA
Rfam family: Bacterial small subunit ribosomal RNA
Source: RNAcentral
ACGAACGCUGGCGGCAUGCCUAACACAUGCAAGUCGAACGAAGUCCUUCGGGGCUUAGUGGCGCACGGGUGCGUAGCGCGUGGGAAUCUGCCCUUGGGUUCGGAAUAACAGUUAGAAAUGACUGCUAAUACCGGAUGAUGUCUUCGGACCAAAGAUUUAUCGCCCAAGGAUGAGCCCGCGUAGGAUUAGGUAGUUGGUGGGGUAAAGGCCUACCAAGCCGACGAUCCUUAGCUGGUCUGAGAGGAUGAUCAGCCACACUGGGACUGAGACACGGCCCAGACUCCUACGGGAGGCAGCAGUGGGGAAUAUUGGACAAUGGGGGCAACCCUGAUCCAGCAAUGCCGCGUGAGUGAUGAAGGCCUUAGGGUCGUAAAGCUCUUUUACCAGGGAUGAUAAUGACAGUACCUGGAGAAUAAGCUCCGGCUAACUCCGU